Tachyglossus aculeatus (Australian echidna) is the source of this 138-nucleotide small nucleolar RNA. Lineage: Eukaryota; Metazoa; Chordata; Mammalia; Monotremata; Tachyglossidae. The record is from RefSeq and is a predicted model, not a curated record.
ACCCUCUCAGGAUCAUACCUGAAGAGUUUCCAGUACUCUACCAGUCUUGACUACAGGAGGGAGAGUAAAGCAGAGGCAUAAUCAUUCCAUUCCUAGUUUGGGCAGUGACUAAUAAGUGGAAGGCAAUCUGCUACACAU